This is a non-coding RNA of Phrynosoma platyrhinos (Desert horned lizard), 73 nucleotides long. NCBI's taxonomy places the organism in Eukaryota, Metazoa, Chordata, Lepidosauria, Squamata, Phrynosomatidae. The record is from the annotation of a GenBank genome assembly.
GGCCAGUGUGGUGUAGUGGUUUGAGCACUGGACUACGACUCUGGAGACCAGGGUUCGAUUUCCUCCUUGGCCA